UGGAGAGUGGGAGAUUGUUGGCUUCGAGGAUCGAACGGAGCCUAUCUACGGCGAAGAGGGUUCGGAUGCUGGCGUACGUUGUGGCGUUCUUGGUUGAGUAGCCGACGAGAGAGCGACACGUGGUGUUUGAGUCGCCGGGAGAGCCGCAUUUGAAGUUUCCGGUCAUUUCGGCGGAGAGGGAGAGGAGGAAGGAGGUGGCGAUGAGAAGAAGGGGAAGGGCAAAACGGGAAGUUUCCAUUUUUGUUUGUUAGUUGCCGGAGAGUUGUCAGUGUGUGUCGUCUCAUCUGGAUUUGUGGUUUAAAAGGACGAAGCGGAGAGUUUGGCCGGAGGAGACUUUUGGAGUUUGACUGUUGACUUUUGGGAGAAGACAAAUGAGAACACAAGAGUUUCAACGGACUCUUCCGUUUAGUAGUUUACAUUAACACGGCGUGACUUGUCGAUAGUUUCAUAAUAAUAUGGUGAUUAUUGUAAUGAUAUUUUUUUGUUUCGGCUAAUAAUGUCAUGAUAAGACUAUUAAUAUACUAAAAGUCUACUAAACAAUUCAACGAAAGAUUCGAAUAUAAGAGUUUAGAAAAAUGAUUAGUGAUUAAGGUAAUCAUGGUUUAUACUCAAUUGGAAUAAAUUAUGAUAACUAAUACAGUAAUUGGCCAUGAGGAGGAAGGUGGACUCCAAAACAGCUAGAUUAAAGACGGAAUAUUACGAAUUCAUUUAGGGCCAUUUCCAUAAAACUAAAAGGUGGAGUUAUUACACGGUGAAGGUGACUGAAGACUCUCCAAUUUGAUUGACGAAUGGUCAAGUUAAUACAGAAAACACCUAAAGAGAAACAAUAUGUAAACGUAAACGUUACUCUUUGAGCAAAAAAUCCGAACUGUUCUUGUACUGAAACUGGUCUUGUACCUCUGAGAGGGACGUCGAGAGGGAUAUCAGCGAGGAGAUCAGCAUCGCCGGAGAUCCCAUUGAGCGUAGCCAGCGUCCUGUUGUCAGUUCCAAACUGAGCUGCGAUCGCGCCGAGGGAGUUUCCGGACUUAACCACGUGUGCAUAGUGGACAACAUCUCGACCGUCCACUCUAUCGCAGCUACAAGGCAAAGGGAUCCACACCCUUUGACCGAUAGCGAUUUCGUUCGCGUUGGGGAUCUUGUUCAUCUCGCUGAUCCUCUGGAAACGAACCAACCCUCCGAACAGCUCGGAAGCGAUGGCGGAGAGCGUGUCCCCUUGCUUGACGGUGUAAACCGGAACAUCUGUCGAGACGCCGGUUCCGUUUGAGCAAGUGCAAGGGAUCGGGACGCGCACGACCUGGUUCGGGUUCACGCGCUGAGCGCCUGUGGUGGAGAGUGGGAGAUUGUUGGCUUCGAGGAUCGAACGGAGCCUAUCUACGGCGAAGAGGGUUCGGAUGCUGGCGUACGUUGUGGCGUUCUUGGUUGAGUAGCCGACGAGAGAGCGACACGUGGUGUUUGAGUCGCCGGGAGAGCCGCAUUUGAAGUUUCCGGUCAUUUCGGCGGAGAGGGAGAGGAGGAAGGAGGUGGCGAUGAGAAGAAGGGGAAGGGCAAAACGGGAAGUUUCCAUUUUUGUUUGUUAGUUGCCGGAGAGUUGUCAGUGUGUGUCGUCUCAUCUGGAUUUGUGGUUUAAAAGGACGAAGCGGAGAGUUUGGCCGGAGGAGACUUUUGGA
RNAcentral lists this long non-coding RNA (1667 nucleotides) under Brassica napus (rape). RNAcentral's name for it is "long non-coding RNA (BNAP_LNC013752)". The record is from RNAcentral. Lineage: Eukaryota; Viridiplantae; Streptophyta; Magnoliopsida; Brassicales; Brassicaceae.